AUUGAACGCUGGCGGAAUGCUUUACACAUGCAAGUCGAGCGGCAGCACGGGGGCAACCCUGGUGGCGAGCGGCGAACGGGUGAGUAAUACAUCGGAACAUGCCCAGUCGUGGGGGAUAACACUUCGAAAGAAGUGCUAAUACCGCAUACGUCCUGAGGGGGAAAGCGGGGGAUCGCAAGACCUCGCGCGAUUGGAGUGGCCGAUGUCAGAUUAGCUAGUUGGUGGGGUAAAGGCCUACCAAGGCAACGAUCUGUAGCUGGUCUGAGAGGAUGAUCAGCCACACUGGGACUGAGAAACGGCCCAGACUCCUACGGGAGGCAGCAGUGGGAAAUUUUCGACAAUGGGGGCAACCCUGAUCCAGCCAUUCCGCGUGAGUGAAGAAGGCCUUCGGGUUGUAAAGCUCUUUCGGCAGGAACGAAACGGUGAGCUCUAACAUAGCUUGCUAAUGACGGUACCUGAAGAAGAAGCACCGGCUAACUACGUG
Molecule: ribosomal RNA, 484 nt
Filed under: uncultured bacterium
Lineage: Bacteria
Description: partial 16S ribosomal RNA
Rfam family: Bacterial small subunit ribosomal RNA
Source: RNAcentral